CCCUCAUUAAAAUGCAAAUCAAUUUAUAACAUUUUUGACAUGCGUUUUUCUGGAUUUUUUUGUACAUAUAAUACAGUAUAUGUAUUUGUGUGUAGUGUACAUAUAAUACUGUAUAUGUGUGUGUGUAGUGUACAUAUAAUACUGUAUAUGUGUGUGUGUUGUACAUAUAAUACUGUAUAUAUGUGUGUGUUUGUGUAGUGUACAUAUAAUACUGUAUAAAUGUGGUGUGCGUGUGUGUGUAGUGUACAUAUAAUACUGUAUAUGUGUGUGUAGUGUACAUAUAAUACUGUAUAUAUGUGUGUGUUUGUGUAGUGUAUAUAUAAUACUGUGUAUAUGUGUGUAGUGUACAUAUAAUACUGUAUAUGUGUGUAGUGUACAUAUAAUACUGUAUAUGUGUGUGUAGUGUACAUAUAAUACUGUGCAUAUGUGUGUAGUGUACAUAUAAUACUGUAUAUAUGUGUGUAGUGUACAUAUAAUACUGUAUAUGUGUGUGUAGUGUACAUAUAAUACUGUAUAUGUGUGCAGUGUACAUAUAAUACUGUAUAUGUGUGUGUAGUGUACAUAUAAUACUGUAUAUGUGUGUGUAGUGUACAUAUAAUACUGUGCAUAUGUGUGUAGUGUACAUAUAAUACUGUAUAUGUGUGUGUAGUGUACAUAUAAUACUGUGCAUAUGUGUGUAGUGUACAUAUAAUACUGUAUAAAUGUGGUGUGUAGUGUACAUAUAAUACUGUAUAUAUGUGUGUGUUUUGUACAUAUAAUACUGUAUAAAUGUGGUGUGUAGUGUACAUAUAAUACUGUAUAUAUGUGUGUGUGUGUGUAGUGUACAUAUAAUACUGUAUAUAUGUGUGUAGUGUACAUAUAAUACUGUAUAUGUGUGUGUAGUGUACAUAUAACACUGUAUAUGUGUGCAGUGUACAUAUAAUACUGUAUAUGUGUGUGUAGUGUACAUAUAAUACUGUAUAUGUGUGUGUAGUGUACAUAUAAUACUGUGCAUAUGUGUGUAGUGUACAUAUAAUACUGUAUAUGUGUGUGUAGUGUACAUAUAAUACUGUGCAUAUGUGUGUAGUGUACAUAUAAUACUGUAUAAAUGUGGUGUGUAGUGUACAUAUAAUACUGUAUAUAUGUGUGUGUUUGUG
Molecule: long non-coding RNA, 1136 nt
Organism: Ictalurus punctatus (channel catfish)
Lineage: Eukaryota; Metazoa; Chordata; Actinopteri; Siluriformes; Ictaluridae
Source: Ensembl